RNAcentral lists this ribosomal RNA (500 nucleotides) under uncultured bacterium. Its description in RNAcentral is "partial 16S ribosomal RNA". It matches the Rfam family "Bacterial small subunit ribosomal RNA", at positions 28 to 523 of the family's 1533-position model. The record is from RNAcentral.
GAUGAACGCUGGCGGAAUGCUUUACACAUGCAAGUCGAACGGCAGCACGGACUUCGGUCUGGUGGCGAGUGGCGAACGGGUGAGUAAUGUAUCGGAACGUGCCCAGUCGUGGGGGAUAACGUAGUGAAAAUUACGCUAAUACCGCAUACGAUCUAUGGAUGAAAGCGGGGGAUCGCAAGACCUCGCGCGAUUGGAGCGGCCGAUAUCAGAUUAGGUAGUUGGUGGGGUAAAGGCCCACCAAGCCAACGAUCUGUAGCUGGUCUGGGAGGACGACCAGCCACACUGGAACUGAGACACGGUCCAGACUCCUACGGGAGGCAGCAGUGGGGAAUUUUGGACAAUGGGCGAAAGCCUGAUCCAGCCAUUCCGCGUGCAGGAUGAAGGCCCUCGGGUUGUAAACUGCUUUUGUACAGAACGAAAAGGUUUCUACUAAUACUAGGAGCUCAUGACGGUACUGCAAGAAUAAGCACCGGCUAACUACGUGCCAGCCGCCGCGGUAA